ACAUGCCUACAGUAUAGCAUUAAUGCACCAAAUCCCAUUAGAAAUUUGCAGUUAAGCACACUUAGGCUAGAGUAGUACUAGGAUGGGUGACUUCCCAUGAAGUCCUAUUUUUUUACAUGCC
Picea glauca (white spruce) is the source of this 121-nucleotide non-coding RNA. NCBI's taxonomy places the organism in Eukaryota, Viridiplantae, Streptophyta, Pinopsida, Pinales, Pinaceae. The record is from Rfam.